Molecule: ribosomal RNA, 457 nt
Filed under: uncultured bacterium
Lineage: Bacteria
Description: bacterial SSU rRNA
Rfam family: Bacterial small subunit ribosomal RNA
Source: RNAcentral
UACGGAAGGCAGCAGUGGGGAAUAUUGCACAAUGGGCGAAAGCCUGAUGCAGCUAUGCCGCGUGUAUGAAGAAGGCCUUAGGGUUGUAAAGUACUUUCAUCGGGGAGGAAAAAACAAAACUAAUAAUUUUAUUUCUUGACGUUACCCGAAAAAGAAGCACCGGCUAACUCCGUGCCAGCAGCCGCGGUAAUACGGAGGGUGCUAGCGUUAAUCAGAAUUACUGGGCGUAAAGAGCACGUAGGUGGUUUUUUUAAGUUCAGAUGUGAAAUCCCUGGGCUUAACCUGGAACUGCAUUUUGAAACUGAAAUACUAGAGUAUCGUAGAGGGAGGUAGAAUUCUAGGUGUAGCGGUGAAAUGCGUAGAUAUCUGGAGGAAUACCUGUGGCGAAAGCGGCCUCCUAAACGAAUACUGACACUGAGGUGCGAAAGCGUGGGGAGCAAACAGGGAUUAGGAUACC